Molecule: ribosomal RNA, 397 nt
Filed under: uncultured bacterium
Lineage: Bacteria
Description: partial 16S ribosomal RNA
Rfam family: Bacterial small subunit ribosomal RNA
Source: RNAcentral
AUACGUAGGUGACAAGCGUUAUCCGGAUUUACUGGGCGUAAAGGGCGUGUAGGCGGUCUUGCAAGUCAGAAGUGAAAUUCCUGAGCUCAACUCGGGCGCUGCUUCUGAAACUGCAGGACUUGAGUGCUGGAGGGGAUAGCGGAAUUCCUAGUGGAGCGGUAAAAUGCGCAGAUAUUAGGAAGAACACCGGUGGCGAAGGCGGCUAUCUGGACAGUAACUGACGCUGAGGCGCGAAAGCGUGGGGAGCAAAAAGGAAUAGAUACCCUGGUAGACCACGCCGUAAACGAUGAAUACUAGGUUUAGGGGGUAUCGACUCCCUCUGUGCCGCAGUUAACACAAUAAGUAUUCCGCCUGGGGAGUACGGCCGCAAGGUUGAAACUCAAAUGAAUUGACGGGG